Solea senegalensis (Senegalese sole) is the source of this 2789-nucleotide long non-coding RNA. RefSeq lists it as uncharacterized. The record is from RefSeq and is a predicted model, not a curated record. Lineage: Eukaryota; Metazoa; Chordata; Actinopteri; Pleuronectiformes; Soleidae. The transcript has 3 exons.
UAAAAAGCGUUAAAGCGUUAAAGCCAAAAAUAUUACUAAAGCUUCAGUGGAAGCAAAACGGCUUUAAAAAGCGUUAAAGCGUUAAAGCCAAAAAUAUUACUAAAGCUUCAGUGGAAGCAAAACGGCUUUAAAAAGCGUUAAAGCGUUAAAGCCAAAAAUAUUACUAAAGCUUCAGUGGAAGCAAAACGGCUUUAAAAAGCGUUAAAGCGUUAAAGCCAAAAAUAUUACUAAAGCUUCAGUGGAAGCAAAACGGCUUUAAAAAGCGUUAAAGCCAAAAAUAUUACUAAAGCUUCAGUGGAAGCAAAACUUUAAUGCCAGCGGGUGCACCCUAUAAAAUGGCUAAAAUGGUUUCUCGGUAUUUCAUGGUUUCAAGGUAUUUCUCAGGCUCAAUCUCAACUGCUGCACCCAGGGAGGGAGCAGGGGAGGAACUGAGUCCUUUUUCCUGUUCUCGGCUUUAUAAAGCUAUAUUUAAAGGUUUAUAUAGGACCACAAUAAUAUUACUAAAGCUUCAGAGGAAGCAAAACUUUAAUGCCAGCGGGUGCACCCUAUAAAAUGGCUAAAAUGGUUUCUCAAGGAUUUUUCAUGGUUUCUCGGUAUUUCAUGGUUUCAAGGUAUUUCUCAGGCUCAAUCUCAACUGCUGCACCCAGAGAGGGAGCAGGGGAGGAACUGAGUCCUUUUUCCUGUUCUCGGCUUUAUAAAGCUAUAUUUAAAGGUUUAUAUAGGACCACAAUAAUAUUACUAAAGCUUCAGAGGAAGCAAAACUUUAAUGCCAGCGGGUGCACCCUAUAAAAUGGCUAAAAUGGUUUCUCAAGGAUUUUUCAUGGUUUCUCGGUAUUUCAUGGUUUCAAGGUAUUUCUCAGGCUCAAUCUCAACUGCUGCACCCAGAGAGGGAGCAGGGGAGGAACUGAGUCCUUUUUCCUGUUCUCAGCUUUAUAAAGCUAUAUUUAAAGGUUUAUAUAGGACCAUCUCGGUAUUUCAUGGUUUCAAGGUAUUUCUCAGGCUCAAUCUCAACUGCUGCACCCAGAGAGGGAGCAGGGGAGGAACUGAGUCAUUUUUCCUGUUCUCGGCUUUAUAAAGCUAUAUUUAAAGGUUUAUAUAGGACCAUCUCGGUAUUUCAUGGUUUCAAGGUAUUUCUCAGGCUCAAUCUCAACUGCUGCACCCAGAGAGGGAGCAGGGGAGGAACUGAGUCCUUUUUCCUGUUCUCGGCUUUAUAAAGCUAUAUUUAAAGGUUUAUAUAGGACCAUCUCGGUAUUUCAUGGUUUCAAGGUAUUUCUCAGGCUCAAUCUCAACUGCUGCACCCAGAGAGGGAGCAGGGGAGGAACUGAGUCCUUUUUCCUGUUCUCGGCUUUAUAAAGCUAUAUUUAAAGGUUUAUAUAGGACCACAAUAAUAUUACUAAAGCUUCAGAGGAAGCAAAACUUUAAUGCCAGCGGGUGCACCCUAUAAAAUGGCUAAAAUGGUUUCUCAGUAUUUCAUGGUUUCAAGGUAUUUCUCAGGCUCAAUCUCAACUGCUGCACCCAGGGAGGGAGCAGGGGAGGAACUGAGUCCUUUUUCCUGUUCUCGGCUUUAUAAAGCUAUAUUCAAAGGUUUUUUUAAAGGGUUUCUCAAAUAUGCUACAGGACAAAAAACAGUGACUUUCAACAUGACCUUCAAACAGCACUUAGCUGUGACUGAAGGCUUUUUGACUGUGUGCUGUGUCCGGUGUGCGGUGUGGCUGUGUGCAAUGUAUUGUUUUGGUGCAGUGCAUUGGGCACAAUGUACUGUUUCUGGAGUUGGUUCAGGCCAUUGGGUGCAAUACAUUUUAUUGGGUGCAAGCCAAAGAAAAUGGAUCCGUCGCAAUGCAACUCCGAACUUGGAAACUUGUGAUCCACAGUCCCCUCCCCCUACCGGUCUGCGCCACCUGAAUGAAAAAGGGUGGCAAAUCUCCCCAAACCCACCUGUGGCUAAAGUGACUGCUGUUUGUUGCUGCUUUGUGACCGAUACACUGGAACUGGAUUGGACCCUAUGGAACUGGAUUGGACCCUAUGGAACUGGAUUGGACCCUAUGGAACUGGAUUGGACUGUACUUAGCGUAGCAUAUCUCUUUUGUAAAAAAGAUCUGUUGUACAGAUCUGUUGUACAUGUAGUUUGUUGUAUCUGUCCACCCAUUGUAUGACGAGUCAGAACUGAGCUGUGACUCAAGUGACUGGGAUGUUUGCUGCUGCUGCUGCUUUUGUUUUUUCUAAUCUAUUCCAGAAGAGAUACGUACUUCUGGAAUAGCCCCCCCUGGUCAGUGGCCACCAUGACACAAAAGAACCUAUGGUGGUGAGUAUCCCAAUAUCAUCCUGUGGCUUGAGUAACUGGUGUUUGUUGCCGCUUUGUGGGGGGGGUUUCUUUCUACUCCAAUUUCAGAAGAGAUACGUACUUCUGGAAUAGCCCUCCUGGUCAGUGGCCACCAUGACAAAAAGAACCUAUGGUGAAACCAGCAGCGAAACACAUGGACUGGAUUUCACUGACUGGACUGGAUGUGAUUUACCUGUUUUUAGUGCGGCCAGCUGGGGGCGCCACAGCCACUUCACCCCAUCAGCGUGGAUGAAGAAGUUUGAAGAAUUAUUUUUGUAUAAAUUAAUAGAAAAUGGCUCUCACACUUAAGUGCUGCAUUGGGAGUUGUUCCGUCUUUUGGAUUUGUGAACAAUAAGUUAACUGUUCAUUUCUAUUUAUUUUUUGGAAUAUUUUCUGGUUUCUUUUCUCCGUAGAAAAAAGAAGUCAUUACAACAGAAUCAUUUGAGAACGUCAUUUCCAGGUUUGACAA